Momordica charantia (bitter melon) is the source of this 2168-nucleotide non-coding RNA. Lineage: Eukaryota; Viridiplantae; Streptophyta; Magnoliopsida; Cucurbitales; Cucurbitaceae. The record is from RefSeq and is a predicted model, not a curated record.
UUCAACCCCUUAUGAAGUUCGUGUUAUGUGUUGGACACGGUUUUGCCAUUGAUUUAUGGUUUAUUGCCUAAUCUUUAAGGGUUUUUUUUAUCUAAUUGAUUGAUUUUUCUAGAGUUUUUGAAUGAUGGUGAGGGGUAAUCUUCAAUUCUUUUUACUUAAUCCACACGUUUUGGAGAGAGUUAAAAUUUUCAUGUCUUAAAGAUUUGUAACGUAACCCUUAGCUAGGUUGAUCUCUUAUUGAAUGGACUUUUUGUAGGGUAUGAAGAUUAGCGGAAGAUGAUCUUCAAUUCAUAGAAAAAAUUCACCCAAUUUGAGAUCCACUUACAGGUUACAUUAGGAAUCUUUAACCCAUGGAAUAAUUUUCUUUAACUAAAUAGUAUGAAUUUCCUAAAGAGUGUGGAUCUUUUAUAGGAUUUAAAGAUUUGUGUGUUAUAGUCUUCAAUCUCUGGUGAAACUUGUGUCAUUGGGUUGGACCCAAUUUGCCAUUGAUUUAUGAAUUAUUGCCUAAUUUUCAGGGGUUUGUACACCUUUUUCUUAAUUAUAAAAUUUUUCAUCAUUUUGUUCACUUGAGUCACUUCAACUGGGGCUUUUGUUAGAGAGAAAAAUUGGAUGUGAAAUACUUGCACGAGGGUUAACCUUCCUCAUUUGGGAAGGAGGCCUAAAUUUUUUAUUACCACCAAGGUAAAAUUCCAAGUAGUUAAAAGGGAAGGAUUCCACUUUACAUCCGAUCCUCUUGAGCCCAAGAAGACUGCUUUACUAGGUUGGUAUUAACACCUAUAACAGAUGUUUUGAAACAUUCAAAGACAGACUAGAACCCAUGUAAAAACCUACUUACAUUUUCCUGUCAACAAGAAAUAUAUUUUUCUUUGGUAUGUUUCAGUUUCCAUGUUCAUCAUCUCCUUAGAAUCGUGUUUUCUCUUGUGCUUCAAAUAGUGUCUAAGAUUUAUUUCCAUUAGGUAUGUUUCCAUUUCAAUAUUCUUCAAUGUCUCAAUAUUCAUAAUAGCAUAUGCCCUUUUUUUCUUCCUUCCUAAUUUAUUUACCAGUUGAAGUUUUGUUGCAGUCUUAUUUGUAUUGGAUAAAUAUGAGGGAUAUUUAUGUAUAAUAUUCUACUUCGAAGCUACUCAAUCAGUCAAGGUAGCAUGUUCUUCAUUUCGGUUAAAUCUUUUUCUCAGAGGUAAAAAGAUAAUGUUAUGGGCUUUCUCUUUUGCAUUUUGUUGGGAUAUUGAUGUUGGCCGUUGGAAUUUUUGUCCAACCCUCAAAACAUAUUUUCUCCGAAAUUUUUAUUUCGCUCUCUUAAAUUUUUUAUUCCAGCCUCUUUUCUUCCUUUGAAAUUUUGUCCAUUUCUUAAACUGUUGCUUUGAAUAAUUUUUCCUCUUACUGAACUUUUUGUUGUAUGAUUUUUUAAAAGAUGUGAGGUGAGUUAAGGAAAAUUAAUUGAUCGGAAAUUUCCUAUUUCACCUUAUUGCCUACGCUAAUUUUAUUGGAAGUUAAAUUUUUAUUUUCCAUGUCGACAAAAUGAGAUUUAUACAUUCUCGCAAUCAAAUUUACCACUAGUAAGUCCCUUUUGGGACAUCCGAUAAAGAAUUUACCAUUAGUAAGUAAUCAUACUGUCUUAGCUUUUAACAUUGUGUUUCAGAUGGAUGAUGGUUGAAUAAACGGUGCUUUGUGUUCGGGGAACAAGGUUAUUUUUUCGAAUUUACCCUUAGUUUAGUUUUAUAUGAUACAUCUUAGCAUUUGACAUUGUGUUUCAGAUGGAUUAUGGUUGAUAAACAAACCUACUGGUUCUUCGUGUUCGGGGAACAAGAUUAUUUUGUUCGAGGUCUGUUGCAGUUUGAGGGCUUCUUAUAAUUGCAAAUAAUUGGGAGUCAAUUAGGCAAAUAUGGAUCAGUAUGCAACUCUUCCCAGUUUGCUGUAUUCUUUUAUUGGUUUCAUUGCCUGCAAACUUUAUUUGAGGGUGGUGUGGCACUAACUCAGAUAUGUGAUGGUGGAAGAACAAAGAUUCAUUUGACUACAGAUUUGCAGGGUCCAGUAACUCUUUUAUGUGGUUUAUCUAGAACAAAUGUUGGACACUGCCUCACUGGUUCAGUUUCAUUGAGCAAGGCUGCUGAACCACAGGUUAUAUCCGUUAUUAAAUGUAAGAUUAAAGAGGGUGUCUUUGUUAGUUUAUC